AUACGGAGGGUGCAAGCGUUACUCGGAAUCACUGGGCGUAAAGCGCGCGCAGGCGGCUUGAUAAGUUGGAUGUGAAAGCCUACGGCUCAACCGUAGAACUGCAUCCAAAACUGUCAGGCUAGAGGGUGGGAGAGGAAGAUGGAAUUAGUUGUGUAGGGGUAAAAUCCGUAGAGAUAACUAGGAAUACCAAAAGCGAAGGCAAUCUUCUGGAACACUACUGACGCUGAGGCGCGAAGGCGUGGGGAGCAAACAGGAUUAGAAACCCCAGUAGUCC
This 274-nucleotide ribosomal RNA is filed under the name uncultured bacterium. Its description in RNAcentral is "partial 16S ribosomal RNA". It matches the Rfam family "Bacterial small subunit ribosomal RNA", at positions 523 to 796 of the family's 1533-position model. The record is from RNAcentral.